AUACGGAGGGUGCAAGCGUUAUCCGGAAUCAUUGGGUUUAAAGGGUCCGUAGGCGGACUAAUAAGUCAGGGGUGAAAUCCCACAGCUUAACUGUGGAACUGCCUUUGAUACUGUUAGUCUUGAGUUAUAUGGAAGUAGAUAGAAUGUGUAGUGUAGCGGUGAAAUGCUUAGAGAUUACACAGAAUACCGAUUGCGAAGGCAGUCUACUACAUAUAUACUGACGCUAAUGGACGAAAGCGUGGGGAGCGAACAGGAUUAGAUACCCUUGUAGUCC
This 274-nucleotide ribosomal RNA is filed under the name uncultured bacterium. RNAcentral's name for it is "partial 16S ribosomal RNA". It matches the Rfam family "Bacterial small subunit ribosomal RNA", at positions 523 to 796 of the family's 1533-position model. The record is from RNAcentral.